RNAcentral lists this ribosomal RNA (383 nucleotides) under Ixodes granulatus. RNAcentral describes it as "partial 12S ribosomal RNA". The record is from RNAcentral. Lineage: Eukaryota; Metazoa; Arthropoda; Arachnida; Ixodida; Ixodidae.
AAACUAGGAUUAGAUACCCUAUUAUUUUAAGCUAUAAAUUGUUAGUAAUUAAAAUUUAUGAAAUCAUAAGAUUUUGGCGGUAUUUUAAGCUUUUUAGAGGAAUUUGCCCUGUAAUGGAUAUAACACCUAAAUCUUACUUAAUUUUGUUAAAACAGUUUGUAUACCACUAUAUAUAAUUAUAUUGAAUAAUUAUUAUUAAUAUUUUUAUAUAAAAAUAGAUAUUAAGUCAAGGUGCAACAUAUAAUUAUGAAUGAGGUGAAUUWMYAUUAAUUUUUUAUGAAAUUUUUAAAUGAAAAAUUUUUUAGGAUUAAAAGUAAAAUAUUAAUAUUAUGAAUAUUUGAAAAGAGCUCUGAAAUAUGCACACAUCGCCCGUCGCUCUCAUU